Molecule: long non-coding RNA, 5010 nt
Organism: Anas platyrhynchos (mallard)
Lineage: Eukaryota; Metazoa; Chordata; Aves; Anseriformes; Anatidae
Source: RefSeq, a predicted model, not a curated record
GGGGCUGGGGAGGUUUUCUCCUCGGGCUUUGUACCGCAAGCUGGUGGUGUCACGGAGCAGGAGCACCUCCGCUGGGAGAGGGAGAUUCCCUCUCGUGGACUCGCUCCAGGCGCUCGUAUUUAUGGAGAUUGCAGCCAGCACUCCACCCUGUUCCUUUUUCCAUGCGGGAUCCAACAGAAAAACCUCGCGCGGCGGUCACGUGGCGGGUUCCUGUAUCUCAGCGGUGGAGCAGCGGCUGGAAAACAAGCCGCAGCACUGCUCCGAGCUGCUCCUGCUCGCCUCACGCACGCUUGCUGGGCGAAUCCUUCAAAACAGCUUGUGCAGAAAUAGCCAAAGCACGGGACGGAGGGGUAUUUAUUGCCUUCCAUAAGAAUUUCACUCGCUUGCCCAUGGAAUAUUGCUGGGAUGCCUGAGGAAGGAGCCAAGGCUAGCAGAGCAUGGAGGCUGGUGGGCAACACCAGGUUGAGCAAAGCUGGCCAGGCUUGGCUAGCUGUGUCAGUUUCUCCCUACAGGAGACAAGAUGGAUGAGGCCACUGUCAGCUGAGAUCACUGGCUGAACUUGGGUCCUCUGGGGCUGAAGAAAUAUACAACGGCUGCUACAGUUGAAGGCAUCAGGAAAAAUGCUAAGGUGUGCUCGCUGUUCGUAAACAUGUUGUACCUCAGGAUGGGUACCUUAUCUAGAAGAGAAAGUUUUUCUAGAUCUUCUCUGGUCAGUUGUCUGCACAGGAUGACCCAACCGUGCUGUGUCAAAACAAAGAACACAUACACACAUAGCACUGCGCUGUGAUAAAAGCUGCUCUUCUGCGCAGUGUCCCAGCUUGUGAAACCUGUCUGGUUUUGCAUAAUAGAUAAGCCUCAGGAAGUAUAAAAGUAGUGGGAGUGCUUGCAGUAUGACCAAGUUACAGUUUUACAGUCGUUUAAAGGUCAGCAGCAAAUCGACAUCUACACCCAGUCCUGCAGGAUAAGGUUUUGUAGGGACAAAGCUCUCAGGCAAAUACCUGCGUCAUUUGCCUACGGCCAUACAGAAAAUCCCAGGCUGAAGAAGGGACCGAGAUCCCACCCUGUCGCUUGCAGGCCAUGGCCAGAGUUACCAAGCCAAUCUUUCUCAUCAUUUACCUAGCACAGACUUUGAAACCUAAGCCUUGCGGAGAAAUUUUUGAGGAAAAAAUUCCAGGCCUGAGGUCUCACAGGGCAGCUACUCUUUUUCCUCCUAACUUCUGGAUUCUCUCUCUCUCUCUCUCUCUUUCUUUUAAUUUAUUUAUUACUUGAAAAUGAGUUUUGUAUGAGAAGAAAGUUAAACUGCUGAAGGAGACUAACAAGUUUAUGGAUGUGAUUAUCUCCCAAAUAGUUAAUGUCUCACUUCUCAGUUAAACAUUUAUUUUUUCAAACUUGUUUUCAGCCCUUCUAAUAGGCUUCUGGCUAGGUUAAUUAAGAGUGCAACUAGGCUGAAAACAAAUGAUCUCUGUGAUAGGAUAGGCAGCAUGCAGGCAGCAGUAACAGCAGUACACAAACUUCUGAAUGCUGUGAAUGCCUCUGGACUUCACCAACAGGUGUGUUGAUCAGCUCUCGUUCUUCUCUCACAAGAAAAAUAUCACCAUAGCUGGUUAUGGCUCAUGCCUGCAAAUGUAAAAAGCUGUAGAGAGACAACAGUGUACAAGGAAGAUUUGUUAGGCCAUGGACUGAGGUCCUUACCAAUGCCAAAUAAAAACUCAAAAUCAGAGGUUGGGUGUUUUGAGGAAAAGUUGGGUUUAUACAUUUGCAUAGGUGGAGGGACAAGAGUUGGUGGAAAAAAAAAAAGUCUAAACCACGAAAACCUAGUGUAAAAAAUGUUCCACCUGCUGUGAAAACAAACAUCAAGGAUAUUAAGAAGAGAAGUCUGAAGCAUUUCUAUGUUCAGAAUUUGGCUGAAUAAAGAGAAGCAGUAAAAAGCACAACUACAGGUGAAAGCCAUAGAUGGUCUUAAAGAAUGGAAAGAUCUGUGCUGCAUCCUGCAACUGCUGGAAAGAAGAGGCACACAGGGGGAUUAACAAGCAGAUCACAAGACAAGGUGGAGAUUUGGAAGAGCUACGGCUGAUGUUCAGGCAAGAGGAUCUUGAAGCAUCAUGGAGCACGCUUAAAUCCACAGGUAGAAGCCAGGCUGUCAUACCCUUACCUCAGCUGUCAACUGGGAAGCCUUUACUGGCACUUGUGCAGCGUGCCACUCCCAGGGAGAUUUGGGAGUUUGUUCUGCAGUGCCUGGCACCACUCCUACAUUCACAGAGCAAUUCACAUCUCCAGCAUAUCACCUCUCCACCUAGGUAAGACACAGCAGCUCAAGGGGGACGUUCAGAGAGCUCUGCCAGGCUUUCCUCCGGAUUUUCAGAGCACUAAAGCACCCCUUGUCUAUGCCACACCAAAAAAUCCCCCCUCCCCAUCAUGAUCUUCCUCCCACAGAGCAGCCUUGCCGGUGAUUUUGGCCUGCUCCUCCCUUCCCCAGCACUCCCCAGCGAGCUUCUUGCUCUGACAAAUUCUCCCCUGGCAACAAUAGCUGCCGCCGGGUCCCUCCCAGUCUGUGGUCAUGGCUACUGGGGUGUGAAGCGCUCUGCCCACCUGAGUCAGAAAUGCUCAGCAGCUCUGCUGACAGCACUAACAAAGAGCCAGGCAGCAGAGGAAUGGUGCUCAGCCCUCAGGACCAGCUCGGAUGUAAGGAUUGCUGGCCCAAACGCUGCGAUUUCUCAAAUUAUUAUUGCUAUUUUUCAUUUCUAGCAGCCCUGCAAACCAGUUAUGAAUUUAUGAAUCCAUCCCACACGUUAUUUUCGAACUACCUUUUCUUCAGAGAAAAAAAAAUACCGAAAUAAAAACGUUUCUCUACCUAAAAAAAAUGAGCCAGCGUUAUGUCUGGGGAGUCGAAAAGAAUCCCCAAAUUAGGCUACAAGCAGAUGCUGUGUAUUGUUUUGAUUGCAGUUGUUCUAACCGACUAUGUUUGUAGAUCUGUAAAUGUUCAAAGGGAUUUAAAAAUAAAGAAGGCACUUUUUUUUUUUUUUUUUUUUUUUUUUUUUUUUUUUUUUUUUUUUUUUUUUUUCCCUUCCAGAGCCUUAAAAUUUAAAUUCUAUCUCCAUGCUCGCUAGAAAUCUUUUUUUUUUCUCUGCUUGUUUUUUACCGAGCUUCCUAUGGAAGAUCCCCCUUUUUUUUUGCUUUUUGAAGGGAGAGCCUUCAAUUCAUCUCUGAAACGUUUUCAGAGCAGGCUGAAACAGAAGCACUGACGCUGCAGAAGCUCAGGAGAAACUCAGGGCUGGUGGGUGCUUGUUCUGCAGCCCACCCAUUUCGCCUGUGCUCGGGGCAUCUUGCCUGUGCUCCUCCAGCACUGCCCCUGCAGCAUCUUCCUUUGGGCACACGUUCCUCCAAGUCAAGUGAGCAGCCUCGCACCUUUAGCUGGCUGCAGUGCUGAUCCUCCUCCGAAAGGUAACUGAGCUUAUUUAUUUCACCCAGCAGCGAUCACUGGACAAGGCACAGCAGCAGAACCAGGGCUCCUGGCUCUCCGUUGCAGCCCUGCCCAGCAGCUCAGGAUCAAUGCUCUGCUGUCCAUUUUGGCACAAAUAUGACAUUUCAGCAGGAGCUAAAGGUUUCCUGGUAGUAAGAGUGUGUUCCCUGAAGCAAUGGGUUUAUCUUCUUUAGGAUGGAUUGAAUUGAAUCUGGGUCCCCCAUGUCCUGGGUGAAUGCUCUUUCCACUGGGUUAAGGUGAUGGGGAAGAGAAGAUAGGAAACUUUGUUCACAGUCGGUGGCAAAAAUUAGCACUGAUCUCUGGGCUGAAAAGUCAGCGUGGGAUCGACCCUUUUGUCUUGUGCUUCCUGCAGCCUGCAGACGGGUGUGGAUCCGCAGGGCUGAAGUGGGAUCUGCUAGAUCUAAUUACCCCCUAAUUAUAAUACAUUAAACAAUUAAAAUAAUGGAGAUCGGGCGCAAUCAGAUCUCAAAACAAAGCGAUUUAGCACGAUGAGAUGUUGAAAACUGUGCAGAUGCUGCUGCUAAUCCUGGAGGAGGUCCAACAUAAACAAUCCAAUACCCAGCCAGCUGGGAAGACAGCGAGCUCGAGGUAAUAUCAGGUUCCCAGCAUAAAGCGUGAGGGGGUAGGUGGAUUUUCUCCCUCCGUUAUCCAGCUGUAUGUUUAGACAAGAGCAAACUACUGUGUAUUUCAAAACGUGUGUAUGUGUGCAGGUGAACGAUGGAAAUGUAUGGGCCUCGAGGGGGCAGGGGACUCGCCGCUUUAAAUGCUCGGUGCAUUAUACAUGUAGCUGUAUUUUAUUUUUGAUUUUAAGAGUUACGUGGUUAGUAAUUUACUGUAACUUUAGCCCUGAAGAAUCUGGCUUUGGUGGACAACUCCGGGAGCCAAAGGUGUUCUUUGUCCAUAAAACAGUUCUUUGGGAGACGCACGUGAAGUCCUGCACGGAUGGGUGCCCCACAUGCUGAGACACAAAUGCUGGAGCCUCUGCUCCACAGCAGGCAGCGGAUGGACAGGAGCAAGGCUGCUUAACUCCAGGCUGACCCAGGAAUGACAAAUUUUUGGCAUACUGGGCUUGACCUCUCCCUUCUGGCCUGUCAGCUGUUGUUUCCCAGUGCCCUUGGACGGGCUGGAUUUGCUCUUGCUGAUGCUCUUUGUGUAGUUCUCUCCCCGGGUACGCAUGUUGAAGCCAGGCUUUUAGGUCUUUGGGUGGGUCUUGAAAUUGCCAAUUAAAACCCCACAUCUCGGCUGUUAUGAGAAGCUUUGCUGAGGUCCAGAAGUUGCUGGAAGCCUGAUACACGCCACAAUUUACUGGCUGUGAAUUAUGUAGAUACUCAUAUUUUUAAUUUCCUUUCAUUUAGUUGUGUGUGCAGGACCUCUGUCACGACCAGCGGGGAGCUCUCCUGGGUACAAAGAGGCAAUUCAGUGUCUGUGCCAACCCUGGCUUGUAAAAGCCUGGCAGCCCUUGACAAACAAAGCCUAGAAAUGUUGCUAUUAAAAGCAUUUAUUGAAUAAAUCCAUAUGUGACAAAAUGA